This 1077-nucleotide ribosomal RNA is filed under the name Triticum aestivum (bread wheat). RNAcentral describes it as "partial small subunit ribosomal RNA". Lineage: Eukaryota; Viridiplantae; Streptophyta; Magnoliopsida; Poales; Poaceae. The record is from RNAcentral.
AUGGAGUCCCUGAAUCAGGCGUCGCGAAAGCUGGUGCAAGCAGAGAUCCCCUGCAGCACCGGUAGGCUUCUCAGCGGUGGACAUGCAAGCCAGGCUUCUCUUACUGAAGAAAUCACGGUGGCGCAGGCCACCGAGAGUUCAUCAGAAGUUUCAGCCAACAACCGGGAUGUUCAGGAAACGUCCGCCGGCACCGAAGAGGUCGAGAACCUGAAGCGCGUGGUGUCGGCCCUCGAAGAGCGGGCCGCCGGCAUCGAGUCGCGGUUCCGCGACUACUGUGACAUGCAGGAGCAGGAGUCGACGUACCAGAAGAUGCAGAUCAUGUGCCUGGGGAUGAAGCUGGAGCUGCUGGAGUCCCGGAACCAGCGGCUUGAGGCAGGCGCCACGGAGAUCCGGGCAGCCGCUGAAGAGUUCGCCGUGAUGCGGGCGAAUCUCGACGCGCUGCAGAGCAAAUUCAGGAAAGUUACGAAGCAGAGCAGGCAAGAAUUCGACGCCGUUGAUGGAAGGAUCCUGGCUCUGGAUGCCCGGGAAGCAGAGAUGGCGACGAGGUGCCAGGGCUUUGAGCAACUCAUGGAGGAGAUGAAGCAGCUGGUUUUGCAGAUACAGAAGGAGAAAGGAACAAGCAGUGAGAAUGCGGAGGACGUCGUGGAGAGGAGCAUGCGGAGCGGCAAGGGCCUGCUGGAGGUGCUCCGGGGCCGGUGGGCGGCGGACAUGGAAGAGCUGAUCUACCUCGGCUGGAUCACGGCGUGGCUGCAGCACGACCUGCUGGCCAGCGAUGGCGAGAGCGGGACCGCCAAGGGCACGGCGGUGACUGGAGACCACGACGGUGAAACCAUCCCGACGGCGGAGGGGCAGCGCGAGAAGGGGAUGAAGAUGGUAGCGGCGACCGCGCCGAGCAACGAGGUGAAGCUCUGCAAGACGUCGUCGUGCGGCGCGGCGGAGGAGUCGUGCAUGGGGUUGGCGGGCUGCAGGAUAGGGAUCGGACGGCCGAGAUUGCUCCGCAAGCUCAGAGGGUGGGCCAGGGGAAACGGCCCGAGCAAGAGCAGGAGGCCGUGCGCCAUCGAAGGGCCCAGCAGUUAG